Molecule: ribosomal RNA, 376 nt
Filed under: Escherichia coli
Lineage: Bacteria; Pseudomonadati; Pseudomonadota; Gammaproteobacteria; Enterobacterales; Enterobacteriaceae
Also listed under: 2 other names
Description: bacterial SSU rRNA
Rfam family: Bacterial small subunit ribosomal RNA
Source: RNAcentral
UGUCGUCAGCUCGUGUUGUGAAAUGUUGGGUUAAGUCCCGCAACGAGCGCAACCCUUAUCCUUUGUUGCCAGCGGUCCGGCCGGGAACUCAAAGGAGACUGCCAGUGAUAAACUGGAGGAAGGUGGGGAUGACGUCAAGUCAUCAUGGCCCUUACGACCAGGGCUACACACGUGCUACAAUGGCGCAUACAAAGAGAAGCGACCUCGCGAGAGCAAGCGGACCUCAUAAAGUGCGUCGUAGUCCGGAUUGGAGUCUGCAACUCGACUCCAUGAAGUCGGAAUCGCUAGUAAUCGUGGAUCAGAAUGCCACGGUGAAUACGUUCCCGGGCCUUGUACACACCGCCCGUCACACCAUGGGAGUGGGUUGCAAAAGAAG